Salvelinus fontinalis (brook trout) is the source of this 7887-nucleotide long non-coding RNA. RefSeq lists it as uncharacterized. The record is from RefSeq and is a predicted model, not a curated record. The transcript has 2 exons. Lineage: Eukaryota; Metazoa; Chordata; Actinopteri; Salmoniformes; Salmonidae.
CGGGGAAACCAUGCGUAAGGCAGGUGCCAUGUAUGCCGGCCCGAGGAGACGCACUGGAGACCAGACGCGUUGAGCCGGCCUCAUGACACCUGGCUCAAUGCCCAAUCUAGCCCUACCAGUGCGGGGAGGUGGAAUAACCCGCACUGGGCUAUGCACACGUACAGGAGACACCGUGCGCUCUACUGCGUAACACGGUGUCUGCCCGUACUCCCGCUCUCCACGGUUAGCCUGGGAAGUGGGCGCAGGUCUCCUACCUGCCCUUGGCCCACAACCCCUUAGCCCCCCCCCCAAGAAAUUUUUGGGAGUUACUCACGGGCUUUUCGGGCUUCCGUGCAAGACGUGUCCCCUCAUAAUUCCGGUUACGAGCUUGAAUCUCCGGCUUCCAUCCACGUCUCCUAGCUGCCUCCUCAUACCAGCGCUCCUGGGCUGUGGCUGCCUCACUCUUCUCACGAGAGCAGUGAUUUCCUCCAGUUUGCGCCCAGGGUCCUCUACCAGACAGGAUCUCCUCCCAAGUCCAAAAGUCCUUGUUGCUCCGUCGAGCAUUUUUCCCAUACCGCUUGGUCUCUGUAUUUUGGUGGGUGAUUCUGUAAUAGCUGUCGCUUUCCUCAUCCUCAGAUGAGGUGAGGAGAGAAGGAUCUUCUGACCAAAAUGCGGAGUCUGGGAAAUAUGCCAUCUUUAUUUUAUAACGAACACCGAUGACAACGAAAACAAACACUUUCAAAACUUACAAAAUAACAAACGACGUAGAACGGAACCUGAACAUAAACUCACAUAACAAACGUAAACUCACGGACAGGAACGUUACAUCGAAACACACGAACAGCCAAACAGUCCCGUAAGUGAAACACAUCGACAACGACGAAGACAUCACAGGAGACAAUCACCCACAAACACACAGUGAUAAUGCCCUACCUAAAUAUGACUCUUGAUUAGAGGAAAAUGCAAACCACCUGCCUCUAAUCAAGAGCCAUACCAGGCAAACCGAAACCAACAUAGAAACAGGUAACAUAGACUGCCCACCCAAAACACAUGCCCUGACCAAAAACACAUAAAAACUAACAUAAAUAGGUCAGGACUGUUACAGCAUGGCUUUCGACCUUCGUCUCUCCCGAGCCCGUACGGGAGUUGUAGCGAUGAGACAAGGUAGUAAUUACUAGCGAUUGGAUACCACGAAAAUUGGGGAGAAAAUGGGAUAAAAAUAAAUAAAAAAAAAUAAAAAAUAAAAAAAAACAAUGCUCAAAGGGAUAUUCAAUGUCUGCUUGUUUUUAUUUUCACCCAUAACGAGACAUUGGAAAACCACCCUGGUCUUUGCGAUUGAAUCUGUGUUUGAAAUUCACUGUUCGACUGAGGGACCUUACAGAUAAUUAUAUCGGUGGGGUACAGAGAUGAGGUAGUCAGUCAAAAAUCAUAUUAAACACUAUUAUUGCACACAGUGAGCAUGUGACUUGUUAAGCACAUUUUUACUCCUGAAGUUAUUUAGGCUUGCCAUAACAAAGGGGUUGAAUACUUAUUGACUCAAGACAUUUGACCUUUUCAUUUUUAAUUAAUUCGUAAAAAUGUGAGACAAAAUCUAAAUGUAAUCCAUUUUAAAUUCAGGCUGUAACACAUCAAAAUGUGGAAAGAUUCAAGGGGUGGGAAUACUUUCUGAAGGCACUGUACAUAUCUAACCAUAUCUGCUUAAUUCUUUGUUGGAUGCGGUAUCUAGCAGGCACAGUGACAUUCUCUAGAGUACAUGGUAUUUUCAGGUAAAGCGAUUGGUGUUGAAAUGGAGUUAAUUCCGGCAUAGUGUAGAUAAUUCUCAGCUCCUUUGUUAAGGCACAAAUUAUACAUUGCUCCAUUGCUAUGGUAAAAGGAGGGGGGGAACAUUUUCUAAAUCAUUGAAGCCUAUGAUUAAAAUGAAAGUUUAUGACAAGGAGACUCUGAGUUACUUAACGAGCAUCGAGGUCCUACUAGCAAACGGGUGCAGAACAAUAUUCUCACAUAGAAGCAGUCAAAAUUCUUUGACCAUCAAUUUAAUGCACAAUUUACUAAUAAAAUGCACAAUUUAUACAAUGGGACUAUGACAGAGGGCCACAGAGAGGUUUUUCAUCAUUAAAAUCAACAUAUUCCCGCCAGCUAUGAGUCCCAAAGGACGGUAGGUUAAUUGUUGGAGAUGGUGUUUGUUUUGAAUUGCUUAUUGUUCCUGCAUAUAAAAUGGCUAUAUUCAAAUUACAACUGUUCUGAAUGUUGGCAAGGUAAUUUUCCAACAUGUCCCUUGAUACUGAUCUGUAUUUGUCUUUAAUCUAACUGUGACAGUGAGUUCCCCGUACAUUCAACCAGCGUCUACACUUUCCAGUGUCCUUGGAAAGUGACCUCUGUCUUCUUAAUAUGAUUAUCUCAUCUUUCUGUUAUCUUUAUCACAGGGAGCCUUAUCAUUUAUGUAGUAAUGCUUUAUAGACAUAGAUUAGAUCAAAAGGACAUAGGGACAGUUACACAUUUUUCAUUUUUAUAAGACAUUGUGGGGCCAUAUACUCUUUUUACUACGACAUCUACCAAACAACUCAAACCCCAUGUAAAGAUAGCAGUUAUACUGCUUUAUUUUUUACAUCUAUAGUGCAGGGUUGGUUUAAUUGUCUCAUCCCUUGGUGUGCCUGAGUACUUUUGUAGUUUUUAGUCUGCCUUUGCAUUUCCAGUGGCACAAUAAGUAUCGAUCUACAAAGGGAACUACUGGGACACGUUGGACAUUUGUUGGUUUUGAUAAAAACUAAAAUUAGGACUAGCAGUUGCUUGUGUAACUGAUAGAUACGGUUUUGUAAGAAUGUAUUUGUGCUUCAAAGAGAGGGUUCAUCCUCUGAUCAAAGCCUAUAAUAGCUUGGUAGAAAAUAAAAUAGUUUUUUCCCCUGUCCCCUUCUCCUUUAUGUUCGGAAGUAUAAUUUACUUCUUUGUUUGUAGUAUGUGACUUUCUCAGCUAUCAAGAAAACCUUUUGGCCAGCCUUUCUACUUGUAAGAUGACUGUAUUCAGGGAAAGAUCAAACUUCAGAUGAAAGGGUUUAUAUUCCACGUCCCUGUCCCUUUUUUGCCCAUGCAGAAACUGCAGAUAAAGUCUUAAAUGUCAUCUACGCUGUGUAGGCAUCCCAACUCUGACCCUUUCAUGGCUCAUCAUUGUUUACUCUCACUGCUCUCUCGUCUUGUUCUCCUUUUGCAGCCCUGGCUCCUUUCAUGAAAACACAUUUCAUUGAAUUUCGAAAGAAUGGAGGAAUACGUCCAUUGUUGUUGGAGGUCUGUAAACAGUGAGCAGUAUGGUAGAAAAUACAGAAGGUAUCCGAUUUUAAAUCAGGACUCAAUGCCAACCACACCAUCUGUCAUUGGCUGAGAAGUCUCAUCUCUGAUGCCAUCCUUCCCCAUCUACAGGAACAUGCAAUGUCAGGGGUAUGGAAAGGCAGCUGGAUGGGAUGGAAAACUGGAGCCUUUUCCCACACCACAUUGUCCUCCCUUGCCUCUUCCUCUUGCACCUUGCAUUAAUGGCAUUCAGAGUGGAGACAGAAUGCUUUCCUGGUGAUGGGUAGGAAACAUUACUGAUUCUAAGAAGAUGGCACACAACAAUGUUUGAUGAGAACAAUGAAUCUGUGUCACAGUAGUAAACACUGUCAGGGGGAGAGGCAUUGUGUACAUACUGGGGGGGGGGGGCAUUGUGUUUACAAUUUCAAUUUUCUCUUGCCGCAUCUCUCUCUCUCUCAAAAAUUGCAUGUUUGGGGGCAUGGUCUGUUUCCAUGGUGCUCUAGGGCACCCAUACUUAAGGCUGUGUCUUUAAUGUGUAUCAUAGCUAUUGUUUUCAUAAUGCCAUAGAACUGUGGCUAUAUCAUACUUUAUUUUUACAUCAUUAUACACCACACACCCAGUUAUAGUGUAAACUAAAAAGCUGUGCAUGCUGCAAAUCUGCAAUCCAUACUGCAUACAGUAUCUCAACCACAAAUACAUAUGCUAAUAGGCUUUGUUUUGUGGUCAUGUCUUGAUGUCUUCCACAUAUCUGAUGUCUUCUUUUUCUCUUUACAAAGUUACACUGUGCCAGAUCAUCAAACAGGUACUUAAUUUCAGUGCUAUUGCCUGGUAUAUAAUUGUCUGCUGAGGUACUAUUCCCAUCGCUAGGAACAUAAAACAAAAUCCACUCAGGGCUGUUAGUUACUCCUGACCAAUUUUAUUUGUACAAAGUUUCUCAACUGAAAACAAAACUGGAAAAACACUAAUGGCUAUUAAUUGUAUUAAACAGAGAGGCCAUUAUGAGGAUGGCUGGGCAUUAGGGGGAACAAACCUUUCUAGAGGGAACAAGCCGUGAAAGGGGUAAAUCUAUCUCCUCUUACUGCACCCCCCUGGAAUGCACACAUGAGCAUGAUAUUCACUAUAAAACUCAAGGGCUAUGAGGGCGAUGUGCCCACCCAGACUCUUAAAGUAUAAAGAUCAUAAAAAUAAAUAUAGAUAGAAUAUAAAGCGUAGGGCAAGAGUUCAUAGUUCGCAUAACGGUCAUGGUAAGUCAGCUCAGAGUCAUGGUCCAUCAUAGAUAUUUUAAGUGUAAUAGCAGUUGAUUGAAUUGUAGUGGGUUGCAGUGCUCUGUGAGGUUAAGGUAGGCAGUGCUGAUUCGGGUAGGUAUUGUGGAGUCAUGUGAAGGCAGUGGGUUGUUGGAGGUCCAUUGAUCCUGCUUUACUCUACUGUAUGUGGCAUGUUGAGAAAAAGGCAUAUUUCUUGCAAGGGGUUUGGAGCUACAGUAUAAGAAUGAGUCUGUGCUGCUCAGUGCUUGCACAAAUGGUCCGCUAACACGAUUUGCUGAGGAAAAGGAGGUUUUUAAAGAUUUUAAAGUGAUCAAUAACAUCUUCUCCAGCACAUUAGCAUGCAGAGGGAAAACAAUACUGUGGCUGAGUCAAAGGGUUGAAAGGAAGCUACCUUCACAAAGAUGCUCAGUGGGCAGCAGCACUGCUGCUGAUGUUGUAUAAGAUGGAAGCCCUGACACUAUACAGUAGGUCAAAUCCACCAUGAGCAUAUAUCUAGAGCACAUCCUGUUCUCUACGUAUACUACAUUCUGCUCUACAGUAUAAUGGGGAAAGUGCUCUUCCAGCAACUAAUAAAAAUGCUGGCCUCUUUCUGCUAAUAAUAACCAUGCAGGCCAAAAUAAGUACCGGUAUAAUAUCAUUUAAACAUGAUUAUUUCGUUGUUGAGUCACAGCUCAUUCUGAAAAUGAGAAUAAACACAACAGCAUGAAUGUGAGAUACAAUGUCCCUAGGCUUUGGGCAUAACCCUGCUUUUAUAUCUGUUUCUGGUCUGUUUCUAGGCCUGCAUCUUUUAUUUAUACCCAGGUUUUUUGUGUUUGUUUGAGAGGGAGAAGAGGGGGUUCUGUAUGGUUACCGAGCAGGGCGACUCUAGUACUGUCCCUGCUCCCUGCACUACCAUGCGACUCAGCCUCAUAGCAGAGCAGAGCAGGGCGCAGCCUGAGAGGAGAGACAUGGUGGAAAUGAAGCGGAAAAACGAUCCUGGGCCAUCCUCCAACGCAACAAUUCCUCUAAAACUAUGCCUCUAGAGAAUCGAGGACAUCUCCACCCAAACAUGUAAUCGCCUACGUGCAGCAAAUCCCUCUAGGACUGCAGGCUACCCGGUGCUGUUGGAAUACUAAGACAAGAAGAGAAUUAAACUAUUUAAAUGCAUUAUUUAUUCCCAGUUUAGCAGGCAGACCAAACCUAAUCAGUGAGCAGUAAAAACGUAUGGUAAAAUAGGGAGUCCUGCCAUAACUCUACAAAAAACUUUUUAGAUAUUUUCAUUACCUCGUGUAAAAUACUGCAUGAUAGAGAUACCAGUAGGCCCGGAUUCACUGAGACCUCAUACUGAGACAAUAGAUUUAUUUAUAAUAGAUGUAUUUAAAAGAUGACCGAUCCAAUUAAACAUCUCCUUAUACUGUAUACAGUAUUUCAGAGUGAGGAUGGGGUACAGUAUGUUACCUACAGCCUGUGUAGAAAAACAAAAAGCAAAACACAAAAAUAACCUCUUUGGCUCACCAUGACAGCAACAACAAAUUCUCCUCAACACUGUACAUGAUAACAAUACAAUUAAAGAAUAAGCUUUGUUGAAAACAAAGAUGAUUUGCAAUUUAAAGCUCAUUUACUCAGGCACCAAACUAGAGAUUUAGGAAGAGAAAGCCAGGGAAUAUAGUGAGAUUAUUGUACUUGAAGCACUGAGAUUGAAUUAGAGUAGAAAAGCCUCCAUCUCAUCUGCUCAGACUGACACAGUAGAGCAUGUCCACAGAAUACAUCACAGCUGUGUCGUUCCACCAAUUAGGUGCCUUUUGAGGAGUGUAACUUGUUGACAUUUUUAUUUCACAAAAAUGUUACAUUCUGUCAUAAAGAGCACAUGUUCAACUUAAUAAAAAACUUGGUUUCCCAUCUUAAGAGAAAAAAGAACUCUAGUAAUUGCCUAUUAAGAUGACUAUAGUAAGUGACUAUUAAGUAAGUGCCUAUUAAGUGGCAAUUAAAGUAACAGGGUUGACAAUUUCAUCCUAAAUCAACCAUAAUCAUCUUGUGACAAGGGGAAUGGAAGUUUGUUGUGUGUAACAGUGAAGGGCAAUUGAACGCAAGCGUCCUAAAAAAAAAACAUUUCUAGCCUGUGUAUCUAUUGGUAAAAGGGUUGAGGUGUUAUACCCGAUCCGCUCAGUUUUCCACCACAAAAUGCCCAGAAAAUGGCCCAAAAGAGUAGACCAGCUCACCUGAUUUUACACUAUGAUAUGACUAUUAGAUGUUCAAUGUAAAAAUGAAAAAAGUAAGGAAUAGUUUCACCUUAUUAAAAGGAGAGUUCAGGUUGUGGUUGUUGUUUUUUUAACUUAAAAUGAAUCACUAAUCACAUCCUCUUCAGAAAUGACUUUGUCAAAGUAACAAACCAACUAUGGCUUUAGAAUGAUGGUGAUACUUGGGAAAAUGUUGGUGUUAAGUGGGUUAAAAUCUUCCUAUAAGUUACAGAAGAUGCACAGAGGGACAUUCAAAUGCUGAAUUUGCGACUUUAGCAAGUCUUAAUUAAUAUAAAAAAGGCUUUUAAAAUUCAAUAUUUGUGCACAAUCUUGACUUAGAAUAUCAAAGGCACUUAUUUCGCGGAACGACUCACCUAGCUACAGUACACUCUCACAAUUACAGCUAAACACCACGUUUGUCAGACAAGUGAAAUUAUACACUACCUGAUUCACUGAUUAGCACAGAAUGUUGACUCUGUUGAUUGUGGAUGUACCUUUUUAAUUGCUUCAUCAGUUUUAUGUAGCCUACUAAGCUGAACUUCAGCCAGACGACACAGGCAGAAUACAAAUCUACACACCUGCUGUCCAAAAAUAUCCAAACAUAGUAGACUAUUAUGAUGAAGCCUGCAAUUCACUGUUGUGUUACUUUAAAGUGCUCCACUAAUGGGCAAGUGUUUGUCAUUUUGGUUUGUUUACAUUAAUAAUGAACAUAAUGGUGUGGCACAAUGGUGCAAACUCAUUGUGCUGGUCAGUCAUGACUAAGUGAGUGACCAUAUAAAUCCAUCUGUAAGAGCUCUCAUGUCCUUCACUGGAGUCUGUUAAGUGGAUUUGAUAAAACAUGAAAGAGUGAUUACUCAUUGCAUUGUUUUCCGAUGGUUAUCAAAAGGGAAACUAUUGAAACCACUUCAGUUUUCAUGCUAAUUAGGAAAAGGGUGUGAAUUCAAAUCAAUUGGUGUUUCAAAUAACAAGGGUUUCUAAUGGAACCUUGUGAAAAAGUAUACUUUUAAACCCAUCUGUCUAACACAUAGCUACACAAAUUAAAUUAGAUCUUCAUGAAAUGACUGGGGUAACUUUACCAUUGUCUGUGAAUAAAAUAUUUUAUUGGCAUCAUUACGUAAGACACUGUUUUAAUAAACUGUUCUUUUCAA